Molecule: unclassified non-coding RNA, 317 nt
Filed under: Hevea brasiliensis (rubber tree)
Lineage: Eukaryota; Viridiplantae; Streptophyta; Magnoliopsida; Malpighiales; Euphorbiaceae
Source: RNAcentral
GAAAAUAUUCUCUAUGCUACCAGAGGUGAGAGAUCAUCAUGUGAUUUUUAGAUGCUUCUCUUAACAAUUAGUAAAUAUUGUCAAGUUCAUUCAAGGUGAUGAUCUAGUGAUGAAGGUUAUGCACCUCUGUACCUCGUGGCAUCACUUCACUUUUGUCGGCUUCCAGAUUUAUAGUCUAUAAGGUGUUGCAACUUCUAUUUUGUAGCUGGCUUAUUUCAAGAUUAGUAAAUUGUUGCUGCUAUGUAGAUUGAAUAUGAAUUUAUAAAUGAACAAUGUUCAAUAUAUUUGUUGACCAUAAUCGGUAUUCUACCUUUUAC